This 490-nucleotide ribosomal RNA is filed under the name uncultured bacterium. RNAcentral describes it as "partial 16S ribosomal RNA". It matches the Rfam family "Bacterial small subunit ribosomal RNA", at positions 30 to 507 of the family's 1533-position model. The record is from RNAcentral.
AUUGAACGCUGGCGGCAGGCCUAACACAUGCAAGUCGAAUGGUAACAGGAAACAGCUUGCUGUUUCGCUGACGAGUGGCGGACGGGUGAGUAAUGUCUGGGAAACUGCCUGAUGGAGGGGGAUAACUACUGGAAAUGGUAGCUAAUACCGCAUAACGUCGCAAGACCAAAGAGGGGGACCUUCGGGCCUCUUGCCAUCAGAUGUGCCCAGAUGGGAUUAGCUAGUAGGUGGGGUAACGGCUCACCUAGGCGACGAUCCCUAGCUGGUCUGAGAGGAUGACCAGCCACACUGGAACUGAGACACGGUCCAGACUCCUACGGGAGGCAGCAGUGGGGAAUAUUGCACAAUGGGCGCAAGCCUGAUGCAGCCAUGCCGCGUGUAUGAAGAAGGCCUUCGGGUUGUAAAGUACUUUCAGCGGGGAGGAAGGGAGUAAAGUUAAUACCUUUGCUCAUUGACGUUACCCGCAGAAGAAGCACCGGCUAACUCCGUG